AAACCAUGAUGAGGGCACUGAGACCAAUAACCCUUGAACCUUUCCCAUGCUUCACUGAAGCUCUCUAGACCUUUUUGUUGAAACCCGGAGAUUUCGUUCCUGAUCUU
Brassica oleracea var. oleracea is the source of this 107-nucleotide small nucleolar RNA. It matches the Rfam family "Plant small nucleolar RNA R71". Rfam says of the family: R71 is a member of the C/D box family of snoRNAs containing the C (UGAUGA) and D (CUGA) box motifs. Multiple nearly identical copies of this snoRNA have been identified in Arabidopsis, and it is thought to function as a 2'-O-ribose methylation guide for 18S ribosomal RNA. Lineage: Eukaryota; Viridiplantae; Streptophyta; Magnoliopsida; Brassicales; Brassicaceae. The record is from Rfam.